RNAcentral lists this unclassified non-coding RNA (298 nucleotides) under Hevea brasiliensis (rubber tree). The record is from RNAcentral. Lineage: Eukaryota; Viridiplantae; Streptophyta; Magnoliopsida; Malpighiales; Euphorbiaceae.
GUUGGCUUCUAGAGGGGGAAGGCCAUCAUCAUCACUUGAGUCAACCUCAGCCUCUUCUUGUCGAUUAUUCUCUGCUUGCAGAAUUUCGUUUCGAUCUCCAACAAUUGCAUUCUUGAAGAUUUCUGGCCAUUCUGGGGAUUUUUGAAGCUCGCGAACUUGUUCAAAAUAUAGAACUCGAGAAACAAUGCAUGCCACCUUGCUUCCAGAUUCAAGAGCAUUCUUCUUUCCACUUUCAUCAACUACAACGAAGCUCCCUCGUUUUAUCCACAUACUCUUUUGAAACUUGGCAGGAAAUAAU